This is a non-coding RNA of Equus caballus (horse), 733 nucleotides long. NCBI's taxonomy places the organism in Eukaryota, Metazoa, Chordata, Mammalia, Perissodactyla, Equidae. The record is from RefSeq and is a predicted model, not a curated record.
GUUUUUCGCUUCUCGUAGUGUCCCGGCGGAGUCUCCUCUGCGGCUUGUGAACGUCACCGCCCCCAUCCCUAACGUUACCCCACUUCUUCAGGUUUCUGCGGGUCAGAAUUUGUCGCCAGCCCCUACACAGGCUGCUCUGCUCGGGGUUUUCUUCCGACAGCUCCGCUCCCUGAGUAAUAUCCUUAAUAGUUCCCUUCACUGAUUCACAUUUUCUUUCCAGUCCACUUCAAGUUAAUUCCAUAAAUGUUCAUGGAGCGUCUUCUGUGUACUAGGCAUUGUGCUGAUUUUGUAGGGUUAUGAAUCACUUCUUGCCGUGAGAGAGCAUGUUAUCUGGUUCAGGGGUGUGUGUGGCGAGCGAUAAACGUCAUAAAUAGCUGCAGCCACAGUAGAUAGUGGGAAACCAAGGAAGGUUUCAGGACAAAGGCAUGGACAGGAGAAAGCAUAUUCUUUGGGGGAAAAUAAGGGAUCCAACUGGAUCUGUCUACAUCAACUGUGUGGGAUUCGGAGGCAAGGGGAGCCAACAUAAAUAUGAUGAUGCUCAUGCUGCUUACCGUGUGUGCCCCAAACUCAAGAUCCCUGAUGCCACGAAACUUGGUGCCCAUUAGUGGAGGAAUGGAUGUAAAGUGGGUGGACUGCAUACUCUGGAAUCCUGUGCAGCAGAUGAAAACAACAAAUGAGAUGAAUGGACAACAACAAGCUUAGCUCUUUAAAAUAUAGUGCUGGCUGAUUAAAA